This 411-nucleotide unclassified non-coding RNA is filed under the name Collinsonia punctata. Its description in RNAcentral is "partial external transcribed spacer". The record is from RNAcentral. Lineage: Eukaryota; Viridiplantae; Streptophyta; Magnoliopsida; Lamiales; Lamiaceae.
CUCGGGCAGCGACAACAUCUCCUGCACGCCUCUUCAGUUGUUGGCGCAAGCAUGCGCUUGCCCGACGUCGGUUUUCCUGUGUUGAAUACCUAUCUCGAAGGCAUUCCGUCGGCUAUAAUUGUCCCGUUUCCACCCUGYGCUGCUAUUCCUUGCGGGAAGCGGCGUGGGGAGGACCUCAAGGCAKCCGCCGUGUUUUGCACCGUGCUCGCCUCUUCGGGUGUCCCGGUUAACGACCCACGGCGCGUUGCUUGAUCUCUCGGGUGCGGAACAUCACGUGGUCGAAGGCAUUAGCCUUCGAUAACCACAAAAAUAAGCGUUCUACGCUUCGUGCGAACGACGGUCGACUCGGUUUUCAGUCGUGCUCUCGUAGCUCAAUUGUUGCCGUGUCGACGUCGAUGAGGAAUGCUACCU